Long non-coding RNA from Eriocheir sinensis (Chinese mitten crab), 2901 nucleotides. RefSeq lists it as uncharacterized. The record is from RefSeq and is a predicted model, not a curated record. Lineage: Eukaryota; Metazoa; Arthropoda; Malacostraca; Decapoda; Varunidae. The transcript is spliced from 4 exons.
GAUUUGAUUUGUAGUAUAUUUUAGUUCGUGUGUAGGGGAAGGAUUAAAACAAAAGAAAACACGUGAAAUCAUAAGGGUUAUAAUUUAAGUAUGCAUAAAAUGGAGUAAAAAAAGUGUAUUUGAAUGUUCAGAAGAGAUUUAUUUUUUUUUUUUAUUUUUUAGGAUGUGCACAAAAAAGAAGCAAGGAGGAUUUAAAGAAAUAAUAUAAUCUACUGUAGGUGUAUGAUAGGAAGCCGAAGAUGUUUUAGAAGCUUGAAGAAAGACUUAGAUGGGUUUCAAAUCAAUGAGUUUUAGAACACAUGAGAGAGGCGAAAAGCAUAUAAAGUUUGCGAUAAUUUAUAGUUUGAUUAAUUUAAAGUCUUUUUUUUAAACAUACCAGAAGCAAAGAAGAUUUAAUACUCGAAACGAUUUUAAUAGAAAUGCAUAUACAAGGUUUCAGUAACGUAAUAAUAUAGAAAAUUAUUUUAAAUUGACAAGAAUCAUAAAUUAACCAGACGCAAAAGAUUUUAAUAUUCUGAGCAGCGCGAGGGCGGCAUUCAGGAGGAUCAGGAACCGCUCAAGGGGAAUCUAAGACCGCGCUGGACGUAAAGAAAGGAAUUUAAGGCGUCGUAAGAACACGCGAGAUAGUCCUGAAUAAUUCUAAGUGAAUCUAAGAGCCUCGUAAAGGACCGGAGGAGGGUUUGAUCAAGUUUAAGAGGAUCCGAGACACUUUAGGAGCGUGCAAGAAAGGUUAUCGUCUCUCCUUUUAUUUUCUCCGAGUUUAUUGUCUCGUUUAUACUUGCCAUUCACGCGGAAACGAGUUCAGACGAGUUUCAAAUUAGGAAAGAGGGAUGAUAAAGUCCUUAAUGGUGAGCUGUUAAGAAGAAAGGGAGGAUGAAAAAAUAGAAGACAAAAUACAUGUUUAGUUUUUCUUCAGUUUUCUUCAGUUCGAGCGAGUUUUAAAUUAGAAAAGAGGGAUAAGAAAGUCCUCUAAUGGUGAUCUGUUAAGAAGGAAGGGAGGAUGAAAAAGUAGAAGACAAAAUACAUGGUUAGUUUUUCUUCAUUUUUCUUCAGUUUUCUUCAGUUCGAGCGAGUUUUAAAUUAGGAAAGAGGGAUAAGAAAGUCCUCUAAUGGUGAUCUGUUAAGAAGGAAGGGAGGAUGAAAAAGUAGAAGACAAAAUACAUGGUUAGUUUUUCUUCAUUUUUCUUCAGUUUUCUUCAGUUCGAGCGAGUUUUAAAUUAGGAAAGAGGGAUAAGAAAGUCCUCUAAUGGUGAUCUGUUAAGAAGGAAGGGAGGAUGAAAAAGUAGAAGACAAAAUACAUGGUUAGUUUUUCUUCAUUUUUCUUCAGUUUUCUUCAGUUCGAGCGAGUUUUAAAUUAGGAAAGAGGGAUAAGAAAGUCCUCUAAUGGUGAGCUGUUAAGAGGGAAGGGAGGAUGAAAAAGUAGAAGGCAAAAUACAUGGUUAGUUUUUCUUCAGUUUUCUUCAGCAGUUCAGGCGAGUUUUAAGUUAGGAAAGAUGGACAGUAAAGCCUCUAAUGGUGAUCUGUUAAGGAAGGGAAGAGGAGGAAAAGGGGGUAAAGAAGGAAGGGAGAGAAAGAAUGAAGCUACAAAAAUUGGAAACGGGGAAAGAAGGAAAAAGAGAGAAAGAAAGAAAGAAUGGAAGAAAGGAGAGAAUGGAGGGAGAAGGAAAGAAGGAAGGAAGAGAAAGAACAAAGCAAGGAAAGUGGGAAUUGGGGAAGGAUGGAAGAAGAAAGAAAGAAAAAGAAACUAAGAAAGAAAGAGAGGAAGAAAGGAAAGAAGGAAGGGAAGAGGAAAAACAGGAAGGAAAGAAAGAGGAAAGAGAAAGAAUGAAGAAAGGAAAAUGGGAAAUGGAGAAGAAAGGAAGAAGAAAGAAAGAAAGAAAGGAAGAAGGAAAGAAGGGAAGGAGGAGGAAAAGAAGGAGGGAAGAAAAGAAUGAAGCCAGGAAAAUGGGAAAUGAGGGAGGAAGGAAGAAAGAAAGAAAGAAAGAAAGAAAGAAAGAAAGAAAGGAAAGAAGGGAGGGAAGAGGAAAAAAAGAGGGUAGGAGAAAUAGAUAAAGGGAAGAGGAAAAAACGGAAGGAAAGAAGGAAGAACGAGAAAGAACGAAGCAAGGAAAGUGAGAAAUGAGGAAGGAAGAUUUUUUUUUCAUAUUUCCUUCUUUUUUAUUUUUCCUUAUUCCUUUCUCUUGUUGUUCUUCUUUUUCUUUUUCUUCUUUUCUUCUUUUAUUUGUUUUCAUCUUUGCCUCCUCCUCCUCCUCCUCUUACUCCUCCUGCUCCUCCUCCUCUUCUUCUUCUUGUGAUGGUUAAGGAAUUUCAAUGAGACACAGCAAAUGGUCCACACACACACACACACACACACACACACACACACACACACACACACACACACACACACACACACACACACACACACACACACACGUUUAUCAGUUUAUUUAACCUCCUACUUAAUUUAUCUUUAUUUUAUUUUUUUUAUUUUUUUCCUCUUAAUUUGUUCUUCGUUGACCUUUUUUUUUCUUACUGGUUAUAUUUUUUUUUCUCUUCUUUCUUCUUUUUCUUCUUCUUUCGUUGUUCUUGUUUUCUUUUUUCCUUAAUCUAGUUAUUUUUUGUUGUUCUUUUCUUUUUUUCUUUUUGUUUUUCGAUCUUCUUUCUUUCUUUCUUUCUCUCCCGUUCAUCUUCUUGCUCUCGUUCUUCUUGCUAUCAUUAUAUUGUCACUACUACUACUACUACUACUACUACUACUACUACUACUACUACUACUACUACUACUACCACCACCACCACCACCACCUGCCUCGUUAUCACCACCCAUUCAUUACUACGAUUGUCACCACACCCAAACUAUCACCACCACCGCGCACCCAAACACAAUAACACAUAAUGCAUUAGCUCUGAUGGAGGUGGUGA